GUUGUUUUUCAAUUUUCUAAUUGGUAAAUGCAUUUAAAAAGCUUUUUUGAUUUCAAAAUAAAUUUGUUAUUUUCAAGAAUAUUCCAAAACGCUGUAUAUUAUGUUAUAAAAUCUGUUUCUGAUUGAAAAACUACUGAACUAUUUUGGUAAACACGUCGCGCAGGAAUAAAUUUGUGUUGAGGUAUAAAUACCAAAUGUCGAGAUAAACAGUAUUUACGCAGCAAAGACGAACGAGAAUGGUUGAGAAACGCUAUAGCAGAAUUCUUCAAGUUCAAGUUGAUAACAUGGACAGGCAAGAACAUCACAUAAGUAAAUAUUUGCUUUGUAUGUUGUUCUGCAUGGCUUUUAUUUAAUAUUUAUAUUAUUUAAUCUUCAGAAUACGUGGCUCGUUGAAAAAGGGGGAAUUACUAAAAUUAUAAUGCCACAUAUCUUUCUUUACAUAUUUGGGCGGGCAAAUAUAUCUUCUGCAUACGAUUUUUUAGUGCGAAGUUAUGGGUUUCGCCUAUUCUGAGUAUCUUUGGUUUCUUUCCACUCCUAUCUGUAAGGUGGGAUACGUUUUAGGACUUCCAUAUGGGCUUUAUGAUCAUUGAUGAUAAAAUUUUGCCACAUCAAAUCAUGUGGCUCCAAACAGACUUGGUUAGCUUGAAAUAUAUUUUGAGAAAAUUGUUAUUUUAUUAUAAUGUCGCCAUAUUGUAGAUUGAAAUCUAUAUUCAUUUAUACUGAUUUCGUAAAAAAAAUUGAAUAUUGAUUGAAAAUGAUUUAUAGUUCCAUGACAAAGGGUCAUAUAUAGCGCUUCAGUAAUGGGGGUACCUUCAUGACAAACAACGUUAAAAGUUCUUGCGAAAUGAUGUUAAUGGUAAUUUUUGGUACAUGGUGGUAAAAUGUACAUUCUCUUUUAGACGAUAAAAACAUCAAAUUAUUUAGAUGACUAGUUUUUUUUUCAAAAAUUAAUGUUCAUUACUUAAGACCUCUGACAAAUUACGAUAAUGCUAUUUUGACGAUUUACGGUAUAAUUAUAACAAAUUUGACGCCAACGGUAGCAAGAUGACUGUUCAACUCCUGACAUUAAAGGGCAUUAUUACACCAAGUAAAGUUAGACCACAAAGAAAUGAUACACUUAGGUGUGCCAACACAAAACUAUCAUCAACUCCAACAUUCUAGCCAUGAACAGUUAAAUCACCAAACUUUACCCUCAAUUAAGGCCCUUUGUUUUGAAAAACCAUAACCAAUGAUAUAUUUUAGUAUUGUGGCAAAUCAAAUUUUAUUUUGGUGUCACAUGUACAUUCCAGUCUGAGUUAUUCCCCUUUAUAGAUGUAAAAUUAGCUGAAUUAUUUGUUUCUUAACCUUCAAAUAACUACUGGUUAAAUUUAAAAUAAUAAAAAAAUCAUCAAUCAUGAACUAUAUUUGUUCUUGGUUACUGAUGUUCUAAUAUAUACAAUAUUAUGAUAUAAUGUUGGCCAUAUAUAUUCGCAUUCAAAGACGAAAUAAUUUCAAAAUAAAUUUGUUAUUUUCGAGAAUAUUCAAAAAAGCUGUAUAUUAUGUUAUAAAAUCUGUUUCUGAUUGAAAAACUACUGAACUAUUUUGGUAAACACGUCGCGCAGGAAUAAUAUAUACAAUAUUAUGAUAUAAUGUUGGCCAUAUAUAUAUUCACAAUCAAAGACAAAGGGAAAUAAUUAAAAUUGUCUAUUUAAAAUCUGAAUCGCUAUAACAAUCAGUUUAGUGCAGGGCAGUAUAAAAUUCAACUAUUAAAUUCAAAGGUCAUAAUUUUCAUCAGCAUUGACAUGAUUUGUUUUAAAUUAACUGCUCAGUGUAAAGUCAAACGUUGACUCAAAAAAAAAGAGAUUAUAAGUUUUGAUCUUAGAACACUGCAAUUUUCACAUACAAAUCUUUGCACUUGCAUUGCUAGCUCUGCCUCUGGGGAUUUUUUUUUAUAAGCAAUUUGUUGAUUUUAGAUUGUACAUGGUAUACAGUACUUGCGACAUGAAAGAAAUGAUGAAUAUUUAUUCAGAUGUGAUGCACAUGGGACAAAUCCUGGGUAGAACCUGAAACCCUGAACCAUGGAUUAGCUUUUUGAAGGUAAUUUAUCUAACAUUAGUUUACUUGCACUGAGAAAUUUGCAUGCCAUACACUUGUUAUUACUGACUUACAAUGUAGUGUUCUUAAAUUCUUUGUUAAAAUUUAGGAUAAGCUUACAAUAUGCAUCAGGUUUAUGAAAUCUUCAAAUCUUGUUUUUUUUUAAACAAAAGCAGAUACUUAAAAAAAAAAAACAUUGAUAAACUCAAGAUUUCUCUAAUUAUAAUAAUAAAUAAAUCACGGCUGACUUUUUUAUGCUCAUGUUCAGUUGAUGAAGUUUUGAAAAUAAAUCUCGUAUCCUACCUGUAAAUCUGCAUUGUUGCCAAGGUAUUUAUUUUGUUUCUUUUCAGGAAAUGGUUGUCAAUGAUGUUGCAUAUUGUCUUGGGUUUUAGUUGCAUGGGGAUAGUCGACUUACUGGAAAUAUGUGGACCCUAGUGAUUGUUGUCUGGUGGAAGAUGGCCAUUGACGUGAUAACUAAUCUGUUGGUCAUUGUGUAGAAGAGGGGCAUUGAAGAUAAAUAAGUGGGCAGUUUUAUCAUCUUUGAAUAGAUUUUCAAUGCAAUAGUUUCAAUUUUGCCAUAGAUAAUUGAAAAAGUUUCAGGUUCCAAAGGACAAUACCAUAUACUGGCAGCAAAUAAUUUUUUCUUGUGCAUUAUCCCUAUAUGCAUUUAGAUCCUUGAUGUCUGACGUCCUGCCUUGAUGUUUUCUUUUGUCUAUUAAUUUAGAUUUUAAACAACUUAUACUUUUUAUUCAUGGAUUUAUUAUUUGGAUUUUGAUUGUGCUAUCUAGUAAAACAUGCAGUGUUGUAGAAUUUUUUUCCAUUGGGACCAACAUCUUAGCAUGGGAAUGACCACCUACCUUCAUUGCAGAUAUUAGUGGGAAUGGAAUGCAAAGACUGGAAAAAAUAUGAUAUAUUAAAUAAUUUAAAACAAGAUUUUUUUCCUCCUUGACAGCCUUUGAUUAAUACAACUUAAAUAGCCUUGAUUUGACUCUUUCUGUUUGUUUCAGAGAUUCUUUCUUGCAUUUAAAAUUUCUGUGUAACCGCAAAGGAUUUAGAAUAAUAAAUUGCAUUAAACAGUCAUUGAAAUGGCAGGGAAUUAAAAAUAUUAUUUGCUAUAUAUUGUAAUCUUGAGUAUUUAUCUAGGUGAUGUGGUUUGUAGAUUAAUAACCCUAAGCAAUUCUUUAAAUUUUAGACGCAUUAAACAAUUGUAUCUAUACCUGCUAAAUCAUAUACAAGUACCUUGUAACUAAUAGAUUAAUUCACUGAUUUUUAUCCAAUCUAAUACAGAUUAGUUAUAACAGCUUUGUUGACCUUGAGCAAUUUGGUGUAAGUGUUUUGAAGUUUGUUUCCAUCUUAUUUCUCAGCACCAACCAAUGAAACUACAAAUGUCGGAAUGUGCAAGUAGACAAGUUACGGUAACGAUAUGAAAAAGAAUUUUCAGAAAUCCUGCAUCUAGGACUUCACAUAAGUACAAAUGUACACCACAGAUUUGGAUCACUUGUUUAUAGAAUUUAUUUAUUUAAUUGGACAACUUCUCAAAGAAAAGCCAAAUAAUAUGGUUAUAGCUAGGAUUGAUUUGUAGAAAUUUGUUGAAAGGAUUCACAAGAUAUGAAACCAUGCCAAUUUAUAUUGAAAGAAAUUAAAGUUGAGAAAGUUCACCUAUAAAUAUAAAAUACCAAGUUUGACUUGAUACUGAAACGAAUUCUGAGUAUUGGAUGUUUGUUGCAGGUUUCCAUUUCUGUUUUAAUUUAGAAAUCUACAAAAUGAAAAUGCAGGAAUGGCUGUAUAGUUUAUAUAAGAUCAGAAUAUUUGAUAAAAAGGGAUAGAUAUAUUUGGAUAAAGAUGAGACCUCAUCCUUGAAAUUUUGAUAUAGUUUUCACAUGCUGUGUGUUACCCUUUGAAGCUUUGUGGUGGAAUAGGGUUAUAUUUGGACAUACAAGCUAUUUAUACAUUUUACUAUAAGC
This 4037-nucleotide long non-coding RNA is filed under the name Mytilus galloprovincialis (Mediterranean mussel). Lineage: Eukaryota; Metazoa; Mollusca; Bivalvia; Mytilida; Mytilidae. The record is from RNAcentral.